Long non-coding RNA from Ornithodoros turicata, 590 nucleotides. RefSeq lists it as uncharacterized. The transcript has 3 exons. Lineage: Eukaryota; Metazoa; Arthropoda; Arachnida; Ixodida; Argasidae. The record is from RefSeq and is a predicted model, not a curated record.
GCAAGAUGGCGGACUCCACUUCAGCUACUGUAGUGUCGUCGGAAGCAAUAAGUGAGCUGCCGUGCAGUAAAACACACUUCGUUUGGUCAGAUGCCAUGACGAUGCACUUGAUAAACCCCUGGGAAGACAGUGUAGCCGUAUCGGGGACCAAAGAGGCCAGAAAAGAAACGCCGCCGAUUACGACCGCGUCGAGACAGCUACUGCGGUUUUCGUCGGGAAGCAAGUGCGGGUUAAAAUAGAAAACCUGACGAUGGAAUACAGCUUCACCUAUGAAAACUACAGCCACACUGCACGGUUUCGCACUGCUACAAAACGACUACUUCAGAAACAGUGAUGUCAUGAUUGCAUCCCAGCCUGAAGAACAAACAACUGAGCAACAAGAGACAAGUUCGGAACCUGCACAGACCUCACAGAGAAAGUAGCCCAAGAACCAGACUGUGAUGAUGCAGGUCCUAGAGCUCUAAAAAGCUGUGGAAAUGAGAGCUACAAAAGCUGAAAAAAGGAACGAAGGUUUCAAAGAAAAGUACUGAGGCUGCAGGAAGGAGUUAAUAGAAUGCAACAAGAAACGCUUCGAUAAGCAAAUUAAAAUG